UACAGGGGGUGCAAACGUUGCUCGGAAUUACUGGGCGUAAAGUGUGCGCAGGCGGCAGAGCAAGUCGAGUGUGAAAGCCCCGGGCUUAACUUGGGAAUUGCGCUCGAAACUACUUUGCUGGAGUGUGGCAGAGGAAGGUGGAAUUCCACGUGUAGCGGUGAAAUGCGUAGAGAUGUGGAGGAACACCAAUGGCGAAGGCAGCCUUCUGGGCCAACACUGACGCUCAUGCACGAAAGCGUGGGGAGCAAACAGG
This 253-nucleotide ribosomal RNA is filed under the name uncultured bacterium. RNAcentral's name for it is "partial 16S ribosomal RNA". It matches the Rfam family "Bacterial small subunit ribosomal RNA", at positions 524 to 776 of the family's 1533-position model. The record is from RNAcentral.